AUGGUUCUGGAGGACGAGAGCAGCGAUGACAACUCAAGCCUCCCGUACAUGCACUCCGAGUCCUCCACCGAUGGGCUGAACCAGGUGCCUUUCUCACUUGAGGACCCGGAUUACAAGGGCCUUGAGCUAGAUCUGAUGGUGUUCUAUGAGAAGCAUGGGAAGCCAUCAAGGAGGCUUGUUGUGUUUGAAGGAACAAUCAUUGGGAGAAGGUUCUUAGCAUGUGCAGAGCUGAGCAAGUCUGCUAGGGUGAGUGAUAAUCUUCAAAGUGCUUUAACUAUUCAUCAUUUGACAAAAGAAAAGAACAAGCUGGAUGCAGACUAUGACAAGUUAGUGAAAGAUGUGCAUCAACUUGUGGACUUUCAGCAGGAUAGGGUUGUGGAUUUCAGUUAUCUGCAGUCCGCUGUCACAUAUCAGCACCAAUGCAGAGCUGAAUUGGUGGCUGGUAUGAAUGCAGACAUGACAAAGAAAGAUGCAGCUAUAGAGAAGCUUCAACAGAAGUAUGAACUCCUGUGCAACCUGACAAGUGCUCGAGCAACUGUCAUCCAAAACCUGAAGUUGAAGAAUAUGAAAGAGAAGGAAUUGAUGAGUGAGGCUAGGAUGAAUUUGGAGUUCAAGAAUGCAGAGUUCACAAAGUUUGAGGAGAAGCUCACCCAAGAGAAGCUAGAGUUGAAGUUCCAGGUUGCCGAUCUGCUGAAGAUCAAGGAAAACCAUAAUGAAGAGAAGCAGAUGCAAGAGUUUAAGAUUACUGAGCUCAUGAAGGCAGAGGAGAAGCUGAAGGAGAAGAUCACGGGGAUCCAGGCCAUCUUGCAGAACUGA
Molecule: ribosomal RNA, 816 nt
Filed under: Triticum aestivum (bread wheat)
Lineage: Eukaryota; Viridiplantae; Streptophyta; Magnoliopsida; Poales; Poaceae
Description: partial small subunit ribosomal RNA
Source: RNAcentral